RNAcentral lists this ribosomal RNA (519 nucleotides) under Lodderomyces orthopsilosis. Its description in RNAcentral is "eukaryotic LSU rRNA". It matches the Rfam family "Eukaryotic large subunit ribosomal RNA", at positions 123 to 658 of the family's 3401-position model. Lineage: Eukaryota; Fungi; Ascomycota; Pichiomycetes; Serinales; Debaryomycetaceae. The record is from RNAcentral.
UGGCACUUUCAGUGUCCGAGUUGUAAUUUGAAGAAGGUAUCUUUGGGUCUGGCUCUUGUCUAUGUUUCUUGGAACAGAACGUCACAGAGGGUGAGAAUCCCGUGCGAUGAGAUGUCCCAGACCUAUGUAAAGUUCCUUCGAAGAGUCGAGUUGUUUGGGAAUGCAGCUCUAAGUGGGUGGUAAAUUCCAUCUAAAGCUAAAUAUUGGCGAGAGACCGAUAGCGAACAAGUACAGUGAUGGAAAGAUGAAAAGAACUUUGAAAAGAGAGUGAAAAAGUACGUGAAAUUGUUGAAAGGGAAGGGCUUGAGAUCAGACUUGGUAUUUUGUAUGUUACUCUCUCGGGGGUGGCCUCUACAGUUUACCGGGCCAGCAUCAUUUUGGGCGGUAGGACAAUUGCAAAGAAAUGUGGCACUGCCUCGGUAGUGUGUUAUAGUCUUUGUCGAUACUGCCAGCCUAGACUGAGGACUGCGGCUUCGGCCUAGGAUGUUGGCAUAAUGAUCUUAAGUCGCCCGUCUUGAA